CCUACGGGAGACAGCAGUGAGGAAUAUUGGUCAAUGGACGAGAGUCUGAACCAGCCAAGUAGCGUGAAGGAUGACUGCCCUAUGGGUUGUAAACUUCUUUUAUAUGGGAAUAAAACAGGGUAUGCAUACCCUCUUGUAUGUACCAUAUGAAUAAGGAUCGGCUAACUCCGUGCCAGCAGCCGCGGUAAUACGGAGGAUCCGAGCGUUAUCCGGAUUUAUUGGGUUUAACGGGAGCGUAGGUGGAUUGUUAAGUCAGUUGUGAAAGUUUGCGGCUCAACCGUAAAAUUGCAGUUGAAACUGGCAGGCUUGAGUACAGUAGAGGUGGGCGGAAUUCGUGGUGUAGCGGUGAAAUGCUUAGAUAUCACGAAGAACUCCGAUUGCGAAGGCAGCUCACUGGACUGCAACUGACACUGAUGCUCGAAAGUGUGGGUAUCAAACAGGAUUAGAUACCCGAGUAGUC
RNAcentral lists this ribosomal RNA (460 nucleotides) under uncultured bacterium. RNAcentral describes it as "partial 16S ribosomal RNA". It matches the Rfam family "Bacterial small subunit ribosomal RNA", at positions 338 to 795 of the family's 1533-position model. The record is from RNAcentral.